RNAcentral lists this ribosomal RNA (1383 nucleotides) under Diaptomus castor. RNAcentral describes it as "SSU rRNA". It matches the Rfam family "Eukaryotic small subunit ribosomal RNA", at positions 50 to 1455 of the family's 1831-position model. The record is from RNAcentral. Lineage: Eukaryota; Metazoa; Arthropoda; Copepoda; Calanoida; Diaptomidae.
CAUGCAUGUCUAAGUACAAGCCUCAGUAAGGUGAAACCGCGAAUGGCUCAUUAAAUCACACCUAAUCUACUGGAAAGUUACUAGUUACUUGGAUAACUGAGGUAAUUCUUGAGCUAAUACAUGCGAAAAAUCUCGACUCACGGAGAGAUGCUUUUAUUAGAUCAAAACCAAACGGCUUCGGCCGUCUCAUUGGUGACUCUGAAUAACUUUGGGCUGAUCGUAUGGCCUUGUGCCGACGACGUUUCCUUCGAAGGUGUGCCCUAUCAACUGUCGACUGUGAUAUAGACGCUCACAGUGGUUUUGACGGGUAACGGGGAAUCAGGGUUCGAUUCCGGAGAGGGAGCCUUAAAAACGGCUACCACAUCCAAGGAAGGCAGCAGGCACGCAAAUUACCCAAUGAACGAAGUUCGAGGUAGUGACGAAAAAUAACGAUACAGGACUCAUCCGAGGCCCUGUAAUUGGAAUGAGUACACUUUAAAACCGUUCCCGAGGAUCUAUUGGAGGGCAAGUCUGGUGCCAGCAGCCGCGGUAAUUCCAGCUCCAAUAGCGUAUAUUAAAGUUGUUGUGGUUAAAAAGCUCGUAGUUGGAUCUCGGCGGACAGGAGUCGGUCCGAAUGCUUUCGGUACUGGCUUGUUUGUCCGUGUGUUUUGCCAGAGGCAGGCGGGUGCUCUUCACCGAGUGUCCGUUUGUGCUGGCAGGUUUACUUUGAAAAAAUUAGAGUGCUCAAAGCAAGCUCUCACGCUUGAAUAUUCGUGCAUGGAAUAAUAGAAUAGGAUGUCGUUUCUAUUUUGUUGGUUUUCGGAAAUCGACAUAAUGAUUAAUAGGGACAGUCGGGGGCAUUUGUAUUCAAACGACAGAGGUGAAAUUCUUGGACCGUUUGAAGACAAACUACUGCGAAAGCAUUUGCCAAGAAUGUUUUCAUUAAUCAAGAACGAAAGUUAGAGGUUCGAAGGCGAUUAGAUACCGCCCUAGUUCUAACCAUAAACGAUGCCAGCUAGCGAUCUGCAGGCGUUUUACUUUACGACCUUGCAGGGAGCUUCCGGGAAACCAAAGCUUGUGGGUUCCAGGGGAAGUAUGGUUGCAAAGCUGAAACUUAAAGGAAUUGACGGAAGGGCACCACCAGGAGUGGAGCCUGUGGCUUAAUUUGACUCAACACGGGAAAUCUCACCAGGCCCGGACACGAGAAGGAUUGACAGAUUGAUAGCUCUUUCUUGAUUUCGUGGGUGGUGGUGCAUGGCCGUUCUUAGUUGGUGGAGUGAUUUGUCUGGUUAAUUCCGAUAACGAACGAGACUCUGUCCUGCUAACUAGUGUCUGCUUCUUUUCUGAGCAGAUUAUUCUUCUUAGAGGGACUGGUAGCUCUUAGCUACACGAGAUUGAGCAAUA